AAGUAAGUUGGCAGAAUAGUGCAAUCGAUUUAGGAUCGAUAUAUGGGGCACCCCACCUACUAA
This 63-nucleotide transfer RNA is filed under the name Microscolex phosphoreus. RNAcentral's name for it is "tRNA-Leu". Lineage: Eukaryota; Metazoa; Annelida; Clitellata; Crassiclitellata; Megascolecidae. The record is from RNAcentral.